AGAGUUUGAUCCUGGCUCAGGACGAACGCUGGUGGCGUGCCUAACACAUGCAAGUCGAGCGGAUGAAGUUCCUUCGGGAACGGAUUUAGCGGCGGACGGGUGAGUAACACGUGGGCAACCUGCCUCAUAGAGGGGAAUAGCCUUCCGAAAGGGAGAUUAAUACCGCAUAAGAUUGUAGUACCGCAUGGUACAGCAAUUAAAGGAAUAAUCCGCUAUGAGAUGGGCCCGCGGCGCAUUAACUAGUUGGGGAGGGAACGGGUCACCAAGGCGACCAUGCGUAGCCCACCUGAAAGGGUGAUCGGCCACCUUGGGACUGAAACACCGCCCAGACUCCUACCGGAGGCAGCAGUGGGGAAUAUUGCACAAUGGGGGAAACCCUGACUGCAGCAACGCCGCGUGAGUGAUGACGGCCUUCGGGUUGUAAAGCUCUGUCUUCAGGGACGAUAAUGACGGUACCUGAGGAGGAAGCCCCGGCUAACUACGUGCCAGCAGCCGCGGUAAUACGUAGGUGGCGAGCGUUGUCCGGAUUUACUGGGCGUAAAGGGAGCGUAGGCGGAUUUUUAAGUGAGAUGUGAAAUACUCGGGCUUAACCUGAGUGCUGCAUUUCAAACUGGAAGUCUAGAGUGCAGGAGAGGAGAAGGGAAUUCCUAGUGUAGCGGUGAAAUGCGUAGAGAUUAGGAAGAACACCAGUGGCGAAGGCGCUUCUCUGGACUGUAACUGACGCUGAGGCUCGAAAGCGUGGGGAGCAAACAGGAUUAGAUACCCUGGUAGUCCACGCCGUAAACGAUGAAUACUAAGUGUAGGGGUUGGUCAUGACCUCUGUUGCGCCGCUAACGCAUUAAGUAUUCCGCGUGGGGAGUACGGUCGCAAGAUUAAUACUCAAAGGAAUUGACGGGGGCCCGCACCAGCAGCGGAGCAUGUGGUUUUAUUAGAAGCAACGCGAACAUCCUUACCUAGACUCGUCAUCUCCUGCAUUACUAUUUAUAGAGGAAGUCCCUUCGGGGACAGGAUGACAGGUGGUGCAUGGUUGUCGUCAGCUCGUGUCGUGAGAUGUUGGGUUAAGUCCCGCAACGAGCGCAACCCUUAUUGUUAGUUGCCAUCAUUAAGUUGGGCACUCUAGCGAGACUGCCCGGGUUAACCGGGAGGAAGGUGGGGAUGACGUCAAAUCAUCAUGCCCCUUAUGUCUAGGGCUACACACGUGCUACAAUGGUCGGUACAAUAAGACGCAAGCCCGCGAGGGGGAGCAAAACUGGAAAACCGAUCUCAGUUCGGAUUGUAGGCUGAAACUCGCCUACAUGAAGCUGGAGUUGCUAGUAAUCGCGAAUCAGCAUGUCGCGGUGAAUACGUUCCCGGGCCUUGUACACACCGCCCGUCA
Molecule: ribosomal RNA, 1375 nt
Filed under: synthetic construct
Also listed under: 1 other name
Description: bacterial SSU rRNA
Rfam family: Bacterial small subunit ribosomal RNA
Source: RNAcentral